CAACCCCAUAGCGGUCUUAUUCACACAAUCUAUCGUGGGGAUUUGAAAUACAUGUCUUGGAAUUUAUAAACCAAACAAUACAGGUUUCUG
This is a long non-coding RNA of Myripristis murdjan (pinecone soldierfish), 90 nucleotides long. RefSeq lists it as uncharacterized. Lineage: Eukaryota; Metazoa; Chordata; Actinopteri; Holocentriformes; Holocentridae. The transcript has 3 exons. The record is from RefSeq and is a predicted model, not a curated record.